Molecule: long non-coding RNA, 456 nt
Filed under: Setaria viridis
Lineage: Eukaryota; Viridiplantae; Streptophyta; Magnoliopsida; Poales; Poaceae
Description: long non-coding RNA (SVIR_LNC009149)
Source: RNAcentral
AGUUUACUAAGCAUACGAGUAUAUCAUAAGAUGGACAGAGACAAUACUAAAGAUAGGGGUAAGAUAAUGAUACAUAAGUAGUGUGACACACAUAAGAAUCAUCUCAAGAUAACUAAGCUAGGGAGAAGGACUAAGAGUUAGCUCUAGGUUCAUAUGUACUUCCUAUAUACUGCACAGAUCAUACAAGCAUAACAUACAUAUACAUUGUAUAGAGAUGAGGCCUAUGCACCUAGGAACACACGGGGAGAUAGUACCCUACCAGUCUGCCAAAGUAGUUACUACUAAUUUACAAACUCUUAUAGCAUACCCGAACAUCGGUGAUACAAAGGACCAACAGGGCUGUCACUACCUGCGGCCUACCCCUAGCAAUCUGUGGGGCAAACUCAUAUCCAAUGAAGCUAAGCAAUCCAAGCACCAUCCUUGCAUUGUUAACAACACUCCAACAAUCCUAGUUAU